CCCCUAGAUGUUCUGGGCCGCACGCGCGCUACACUGAACAGUUCAACAAGUCUUAACCUUGGCCGAUAGGUCUGGGUAAUCUUUGAACGCCGGUCGUGAUGGGGAUAGAUCCUUGCAAUUUUUGAUCUUCAACGAGGAAUUCCUAGUAAAUGCGAGUCAUCAUCUCGCGUUGAUUACGUCCCUGCCCUUUGUACACACCGCCCGUCGCACCUACCGAUUGAAUGGUCCGGUGAAGCCUCGGGAUUGCGAAUGCUUCGUGCGGACGCGAGAACUUGGCUAAACCUUACCAUUUAGAGGAAGGUGAAGUCGUAACA
Molecule: ribosomal RNA, 314 nt
Filed under: uncultured eukaryote
Lineage: Eukaryota
Description: partial 18S ribosomal RNA
Rfam family: Eukaryotic small subunit ribosomal RNA
Source: RNAcentral